Daphnia pulex (common water flea) is the source of this 352-nucleotide long non-coding RNA. RefSeq lists it as uncharacterized. Lineage: Eukaryota; Metazoa; Arthropoda; Branchiopoda; Diplostraca; Daphniidae. The transcript is spliced from 2 exons. The record is from RefSeq and is a predicted model, not a curated record.
GAAAAUGUAAUCUCGCAUUGGCCCAUCAUACCGAAGCGAUACCUGGAUCUUUGGCUUGGGCGCUACCCAAAAGAAGCCCUUACACACGGCUGUUUACCAAAGGAUUCAUGGAGCUGCACGAAGCCGGACGGAUUGAAUUUUGGACUCGGGUGUAUCAGAAAAAGUAUACGAACGCCACUCAUUGCCUAAACGAGGCCCGUAAAAGGCGAGAGCAGCGCAAACUGUCUAAAAGUAAAACCAAAAUUACAUUGAAUAACUUCUCGGGCGCAUUUUACGUCUUAGCCCUUGGCUACUUCAUUUCUUUCGUCUGUUUUGUGCGAGAAAAUAUUUGUUUUAGACUCAAUAGAUAUAA